Long non-coding RNA from Gadus morhua (Atlantic cod), 977 nucleotides. NCBI's taxonomy places the organism in Eukaryota, Metazoa, Chordata, Actinopteri, Gadiformes, Gadidae. The record is from Ensembl.
UGGCGAAGUUUGAGACUUCAGAGACACCUCCGAGAGUUACGCACGUUUUUUCGGCCACACGGUUAUUGGUAUUUGACCUGCUCUUUGCUAACAACCUGCUCUUUGGAUUGCUUUCCAAUUCACAUUUGCUGCAGUUUCUAAAUUCGUUCUACAUUUGUUUGUUCUCCUGCUACCGGACCUCCGCCUGCCUGACUACUCGAUCCUCGCCUAGCCCCCACCUGCACGAUCGCCCUCCCGGCUCCAGACCCCCCCGCCUGCCUGACUACCCGAUCCUCGCCUAGCCCCUCCAGCACGAUCGCCCUCCCGGUUCCUGACCCCCGCCUGCCUGACUUCCCGUCCACCGUCCAGCCCGUGACCACCUGAUUGCCAGCCCGUUACCAGACCCCCGCCUGCCUGACUUCCCGAACGCUCCACGAAUAAAUUCCUUUGCCUUUACCCUGUCUCCGCCUCCCUGCGUCCUGCACUUGGGUCCCAGUAACCCGUACCGUAACAGGUAAACAGAGUGGUAAACAGAGACCCACCGUGGAGAUACCCUUGGAGGCAAUAGGAGGUGACGUAAUUCCCGCCCAUACGCUGAUUGGCUGAUACCUUUGCCACUUUGCAUAUAGACUUUUUGGAAAACGUUUUGGAUUCCGUUUUGGAAAACGUUUUGGAUUCCGUUUUGCCAAAUCUUUUGCAAAGCGUUCGUUUUGCGGAUUGAAAUGUCAUUUGAAUAUCGCAACACACGGAGCGUGUCGAAGUGGAUUGCAAUCACGGGGACGCUAUAGCUUUUCAAUUUGAAUAAAGGAACUCAAAGAAUUUGACAAAAUGUUAUUCGAUUUGUAUUGUUAUAACUUUUGCAAAUUUAAUUGAGGAUUGCAUUGUCACUUUACAUAUUAAAAUACACUUUGAAUAACGUAUUUACAAAUUACAUUAUAAAAUUGCAUAAUGAAUUGUCAAUUGCAUAAUGUAAUGACAUUUGAAUUGCAAAUUGCAUU